This 1985-nucleotide long non-coding RNA is filed under the name Triticum aestivum (bread wheat). RNAcentral's name for it is "long non-coding RNA (TAES_LNC007412)". Lineage: Eukaryota; Viridiplantae; Streptophyta; Magnoliopsida; Poales; Poaceae. The record is from RNAcentral.
UUUAAUAACUUCUCUGAAUUUUGGCCACUACUACAGUAACUUCAAGUGAGUAACUACAAUAACAUCAAGUGAGUAACUCCAAUUUCUGAAUUUUUUUACAUUACACUAACCAUGAUAUUUGUUCCUCUGUUCUGGUCAUAAUUAUAAUCUGAUUGUUGAACCCUUAAUCAUUCUGAUAAUGUUUACAUGAUGCACAAUUAUACUGCUGUCAAAACUACUCCAUACACACUAUCAAAACUGACAAGAUGGUGGUGGUGGUGGAGUAACAUCUUUUACAUCUCUGUUUUGGUCAAAACUGAAUGUUGAUUCCUUGCAUCAUCUACUCUGAAUGAUUUAAUACUGAUAACUUCAGCAUCUAUAGACUUUGUGUUGUGGCAGCAGCUAAAACCCCUACAUCUUGCCUCUCUGUUUUUAAAGCUGCUAUUUCAAUUGUUACUGAACCUUGUUAAGUUUUUAACAAAAUAAUUACUAGUGCAUCUAGGAAUCAUUUAAGUUCUGCUGCUAUAUGAAGUGGUGCAGCUAUAUGAUCAUGCUAGAAUAUGCAUUUACAUAGACUGACUAAUGGCUCAAUAUAUUCUUAACUUUGUUACUGUAUUUAUCUAGAGAUGGGAGAAUAUCACCAUGUCCUGACUUAGUUACUCUUGCACUCACCUAUGCUGCUGUUGCACUAAUUUCAGUUCCCUCUCUCAGUUGUUCUAUUGCAUGACCAUGUAUAGAUAGAAUUUGUUCCCUCUGGUCCAAAUAGGUGAGCGAGCCAUCCAUCGAAUUGCCCGCAAAAAUUUGCAUACUCCAUGUGUGUUCACUAAAUUUUUAGUGCACUCAUGGAAGCAUGCAUUUUCCAAUCAAUUAAUAGUGAUAACUGAUUCCUUUGGUCUGUCCUUCAAAAUUAUCAGAUGCACUAUUUAGAAUCCAGUUUUGUGAUCUGGGGAACUAUAAUUAUUCUGAUUAUCAACUUGACUGAAUAUCAACUUGCUAGAUCAAAAGCUGAUAGAAAUUGAUAGGUUUUGAGCAUCAAGAGAUCUGAAUGGAGUUAACUCGUAUUGAGAAGUUAACUGAAUUUUUUUGUAUCAACAUUGCACCAUUUCAGCAUGACAACUCAACUCAACUAACCUCAACUCAAUUCAGCAAUUAUCUUGCAGGUUCAGGAAUUAUCUUUGCAGAUUCUCCAGACACAACAAUAAUCUUCAGACUCACACCACUAGUUGAAUUGCAGCAGUAGUAGAGGUGGGCGGGGCAGACUCACUAGCACCAGUACCAGCAGAGUCAGGGCAAGGGAAAGGGAAGAAGCAUCAUCAGAGGUCCACGUCGGCGUCUCCUACCAACAGUAGUAACAUCAGUGGCGGGAGUGGCCGGAAUUGUCCGUGCCGGUGGUGGCCAAAGCAGAAGAAGUCAGAGGCAUAGGUUUGUGGUUGUGGGCGGCGAAGGUGGUUGCGCAGGAAGGCGACCGUGGCCAGCAUAGGUGGGCUACAGCAUGUGGCAAGAUUCAACGGGGCUGGUGGCGCAGCUCGAGGCGGGCGUCAGCACAGGUUGCCUUCACGGCGGGCACCGCAGGUGGGAAGCCUUGGCGCAUGUUGGGGAUAUAACUAUUUGUGUAAGCCUCCCAGGAGGGGUCGGGUUAUUCAAAGAGGAUUCCCCAGAGAGAAGCCCAAGACCAAGGCAUGAAGAUGGCGGUUCAUAGAUAGCUUAAGGCCCAGGGGCGACUUAAGGCUCGUUGUCGUAAACCGUUGUAAUAAUAUUACUUGUAUCAUAAGGUAGACUUAACUAGUCACCGAUCCGGACAUUGUUUAUAAGCCGGCCGGGACUCUGUAAGCCGCAGGGCGUCGACCCGUGUAUAUAAGGGGACGACCCGCUGGCGGCUUAGGGCAAGAAACAACUCAUCGAGAGCCAGGCAUAGCGUAUCUUGCUCCCUGUUCAUCGAAACAUCAAUACCAACCCAACUAGACAUAGGCCUUACCUUCACCGUAAGGGGCCGAACUAGUAUAAAA